CUACGUGCCAGCAGCCGCGGUAAUACGGAAGGUCCAGGCGUUAUCCGGAUUUAUUGGGUUUAAAGGGAGCGUAGGCUGGAGAUUAAGUGUGUUGUGAAAUGUAGACGCUCAACGUCUGAAUUGCAGCGCAUACUGGUUUCCUUGAGUACGCACAACGUUGGCGGAAUUCGUCGUGUAGCGGUGAAAUGCUUAGAUAUGACGAAGAACUCCGAUUGCGAAGGCAGCUGACGGGAGCGCAACUGACGCUGAAGCACGAAAGCGUGGGUAUCAAACAGGAUUAGAUACCCUGGUAGUCCACGCAGUAAACGAUGAUAACUGGGCGUAUGCGAUAUACAGUAUGCUCCUAAGCGAAAGCGUUAAGUUAUCCACCUGGGGAGUACGCCGGCAACGGUGAAACUCAAAGGAAUCGACGGGGGCCCGCACAAGCGGAGGAACAUGGGUUUAAUUCGAUGAUACGCGAGGAACCUUACCCGGGAUUGAA
This 481-nucleotide ribosomal RNA is filed under the name uncultured bacterium. RNAcentral describes it as "bacterial SSU rRNA". It matches the Rfam family "Bacterial small subunit ribosomal RNA", at positions 501 to 985 of the family's 1533-position model. The record is from RNAcentral.